GACGAACGCUGGCGGCGUGCUAAACACAUGCAAGUUGAACGGAAAGGCCCUGCUUUUGUGGGGUGCUCGAGUGGCGAACGGGUGAGUAACACGUGAGUAACCUGCCCUUGACUUUGGGAUAACUUCAGGAAACUGGGGCUAAUACCGGAUAGGAGCUCCUGCUGCAUGGUGGGGGUUGGAAAGUUUCGGCGGUUGGGGAUGGACUCGCGGCUUAUCAGCUUGUUGGUGGGGUAGUGGCUUACCAAGGCUUUGACGGGUAGCCGGCCUGAGAGGGUGACCGGCCACAUUGGGACUGAGAUACGGCCCAGACUCCUACGGGAGGCAGCAGUGGGGAAUAUUGCACAAUGGGCGGAAGCCUGAUGCAGCAACGCCGCGUGCGGGAUGACGGCCUUCGGGUUGUAAACCGCUUUCGCCUGUGACGAAGCGUGAGUGACGGUAAUGGGUAAAGAAGCACCGGCUAACUACGUG
Molecule: ribosomal RNA, 468 nt
Filed under: uncultured bacterium
Lineage: Bacteria
Description: partial 16S ribosomal RNA
Rfam family: Bacterial small subunit ribosomal RNA
Source: RNAcentral